UACGGAGGGUGCGAGCGUUAAUCGGAAUUACUGGGCGUAAAGCGCGCGAAGGCGGUUUGUUAAGUCGGAUGUGAAAUCCCCGGGCUCAACCUGGGAACUGCACCCGAUACUGGACGACUUGAGUGAGAGAGAGGGAGGUAGAAUUCCACGUGUAGCGGUGAAAUGCGUAGAUAUGUGGAGGAAUACCGGUGGCGAAGGCGGCCUCCUGGCUCGACACUGACGCUGAGGUGAGAAAGCGUGGGGAGCAAACAGG
RNAcentral lists this ribosomal RNA (253 nucleotides) under uncultured bacterium. RNAcentral describes it as "partial 16S ribosomal RNA". It matches the Rfam family "Bacterial small subunit ribosomal RNA", at positions 524 to 776 of the family's 1533-position model. The record is from RNAcentral.